AAUGCUAUUAGAUGCAGUCUACCAUUAAUAUUCUGUUGCAAAAUGGCACAUAAACCUAAACCAUCUUCAUUAUCUUCUUCAUCACUUGAGUUAGCAUGCACAAUUUUCGAUUUGAUGGAAUUUAAUACUUUGGUUUGUUUAUUGGCAUUUUCGGUCCAACUUUCUCUUGCAAGCAUGCGAAGGAUGAUGCGAAAGCGGCUAUCACUUGUCUUUUCGAUGUGCCAGUCAAAAUCGUCAGUUCACGGUCAUAACAAGUCUGUGGUCAGUCAAACUGGAAUCGGAACUACUGCGAAAGCAUUUGCCAAGAAUGUUUUCAUUAAUCAAGAACGAAAGUUAGAGGUUCGAAGGCGAUCAGAUACCGCUCUAGUUCUAACCAUAAAUGAUCCUUUUCCCGAUUCCGAUUUACUGAUCCAAUUGGGGAGAAAACUUCCAAGCU
This 436-nucleotide non-coding RNA is filed under the name Strigamia maritima. RNAcentral describes it as "Eukaryotic small subunit ribosomal RNA". It matches the Rfam family "Eukaryotic small subunit ribosomal RNA", at positions 637 to 1106 of the family's 1831-position model. The record is from Rfam by way of RNAcentral. Lineage: Eukaryota; Metazoa; Arthropoda; Chilopoda; Geophilomorpha; Linotaeniidae.